RNAcentral lists this transfer RNA (84 nucleotides) under Bursaphelenchus xylophilus (pine wood nematode). It matches the Rfam family "tRNA". From Rfam's summary of the family: Transfer RNA (tRNA) molecules are approximately 80 nucleotides in length. Their secondary structure includes four short double-helical elements and three loops (D, anti-codon, and T loops). Lineage: Eukaryota; Metazoa; Nematoda; Chromadorea; Rhabditida; Aphelenchoididae. The record is from Rfam by way of RNAcentral.
CCGACCAUAGCUCAGUUGGUAGAGCGGAGGACUGUAGUUCAAACGGAAAUCCUUAGGUCGCUGGUUCGAAUCCGGCUGGUCGGA